Molecule: ribosomal RNA, 253 nt
Filed under: uncultured bacterium
Lineage: Bacteria
Description: partial 16S ribosomal RNA
Rfam family: Bacterial small subunit ribosomal RNA
Source: RNAcentral
UACAGAGGUCCCGAGCGUUGUUCGGAUUCAUUGGGCGUAAAGGGUGCGUAGGUGGCGCCGUAAGUGGGGUGUGAAAUCCCGGGGCUUAACCCCGGGACUGCAUUCCAUACUGCGGUGCUUGAGGACUGGAGAGGAGACUGGAAUUUACGGUGUAGCAGUGAAAUGCGUAGAGAUCGUAAGGAAGACCAGUGGCGAAGGCGGGUCUCUGGACAGUUCCUGACACUGAGGCACGAAGGCCAGGGGCGCAAACGGG